RNAcentral lists this ribosomal RNA (427 nucleotides) under uncultured bacterium. RNAcentral's name for it is "partial 16S ribosomal RNA". It matches the Rfam family "Bacterial small subunit ribosomal RNA", at positions 355 to 774 of the family's 1533-position model. The record is from RNAcentral.
UGGGGAAUAUUGGACAAUGGGCGAAAGCCUGAUCCAGCCAUGCCGCGUGUGUGAAGAAGGUCUUCGGAUUGUAAAGCACUUUAAGUUGGGAGGAAGGGCAGUAAAUUAAUACUUCGCUGUUUUGACGUUACCGACAGAAUAAGCACCGGCUAACUCUGUGCCAGCAGCCGCGGUAAUACAGAGGGUGCAAGCGUUAAUCGGAAUUACUGGGCGUAAAGCGCGCGUAGGUGGUUCGUUAAGUUGGAUGUGAAAUCCCCGGGCUCAACCUGGGAACUGCAUUCAAAACUGACGAGCUAGAGUAUGGUAGAGGGUGGUGGAAUUUCCUGUGUAGCGGUGAAAUGCGUAGAUAUAGGAAGGAACACCAGUGGCGAAGGCGACCACCUGGACUGAUACUGACACUGAGGUGCGAAAGCGUGGGGAGCAAACA